This 110-nucleotide microRNA precursor is filed under the name Anopheles sinensis. RNAcentral describes it as "microRNA MIR158". Lineage: Eukaryota; Metazoa; Arthropoda; Insecta; Diptera; Culicidae. The record is from RNAcentral.
UUGUGUCACUAGGCCUCUCGGCUGUGUAAAUUUGGGACGAUUUGGGACGACGUCCCAACUCGUCCCAAAUCGUCCCAAAUUUACACAGGCCAGAGGCCUGGUGACACAAC